Molecule: ribosomal RNA, 439 nt
Filed under: uncultured bacterium
Lineage: Bacteria
Description: partial 16S ribosomal RNA
Rfam family: Bacterial small subunit ribosomal RNA
Source: RNAcentral
CCUAGGGCGGCAGCAGUGAGGAAUAUUGCACAAUGGGGGGAACCCUGAUGCAGCAACGCCGCGUGGAGGAUGACGCAUUUCGGUGUGUAAACUCCUUUUAUAUGUCAAGAAAAUGACGGUAGCAUAUGAAUAAGCACCGGCUAACUCCGUGCCAGCAGCCGCGGUAAUACGGAGGGUGCAAGCGUUACUCGGAAGCACUGGGCGUAAAGGACGCGUAGGCGGGUUGGAAAGUCAGGUGUGAAAUCCUACAGCUUAACUGUAGAACUGCACUUGAAACUUCUAAUCUAGAGUAUGGGAGGGGGAGAUGGAAUUAGUGGUGUAGGGGUAAAAUCCGUAGAUAUCACUAGGAAUACCUAAAGCGAAGGCGAUCUCCUGGAACAUUACUGACGCUAAGGCGUGAAAGCGUGGGGAGCAAACAGGAUUAGAUACCCCCGUAGUC